Molecule: regulatory RNA element, 89 nt
Organism: Hafnia alvei FB1
Lineage: Bacteria; Pseudomonadati; Pseudomonadota; Gammaproteobacteria; Enterobacterales; Hafniaceae
Rfam family: TrxA 5' UTR thermometer
About the family: Involved in protection against oxidative stress.
Source: Rfam
UCGGUCUAGUAGGUUAAGAUUAUACCAAUAAAGGCAGACUUAAUCCUGUGGAGUAGAACAUGAGCGAUAAAAUUGUUCACCUGAGUGAC